This 911-nucleotide long non-coding RNA is filed under the name Anser brachyrhynchus (Pink-footed goose). RNAcentral describes it as "lncRNA (ENSABRG00000015866.1)". Lineage: Eukaryota; Metazoa; Chordata; Aves; Anseriformes; Anatidae. The record is from RNAcentral.
GUGACACUUAGUUAAUUUUAACACACACAUACAGACCCCUACCUAUAUUUCUAUCUAUAAAAUUUUAUGAAAUACAGCAAGUAGCUGAAAGAUGCAUGCUUUUUAAAGAGCUGAUUGUUUAAGGGAAAAUAUUCUAAUUGUGUGCCUUCUACUACCAUAUUUGUCUUUUGUAUUUCAGUGAAGUCUUGAGGACCUCGUCUGUUGCGAUAGGUGUAUACGCAUGAGAAAAAAAGUGGUCUUUACCCCAGCUUCCCUGCAGCCAGGAGGAUGAACUUCUGUUCAACAGCCCAUCCUUUAAUAGACAUAAGAUCAAAGCAAUGUCAAGCAAGUGUUGCUAAUCCUUUUGAAUUAGUGGUGCAAGUUCAUGAGGUCACUUGUAAAAGUGAUGUAAUAUGCAGAAAACCUCUAAAAACUGAACAUAUGUUAUAUGUAAAGCAAGAAGCAAAGUAAACUGGAACAUUGAAAUGGGACUGAGUGACAUGCGUUCUGUAUCCACAUGGAAGGCACUAGAGACGAGGACACGGAGCUGGGACUGUAGACCUACUGGUGCUGACAACAGAUGGCUCAGAAUGUUCUCAGAGGAGAGCGUGAAGUGAAAAGGGAGAUAGAUAAUUGCUGUGAUCAUGCUGUUGGCCUGGAAGUCAGGAGUUGUUACUGGCUGCGAAAUGAUGCAAAGAAAUUAUUUGACCACAAUGGACAUGUAGUAGUAACAAGAUACUGCUCUGUGGAGAUGACAAAUGUAUAAAUCUCACAGAUUUCUCAGAAAGAGAAUUCUCAGAUACUUUUCUUCGUCCUCAAGAAAAAAACCACAAGGUAUUCUCAUUCCUCUGUUGAGCAUCCUGUAAAUGGAAACGGAAAUGUUUCUUGGGUAAGUUCCCAUUUUUAUAUUGAAAAUGCUGCGGGCCUUGUUC